ACCAGCAUCCCACUGAGGUUUUCCCUGGGCUGCAAACUCUGCAGAUCCUCAUUUCUACAAUCGUGCAAAUAGGUUUUGUUCUGAAGCUAAAAGUAGAAGGGAAUAUUUUCCUAGAAUGAAGGCGAGAGCGUGGCUGGCUGACACCAGUAAGUUUUCUCUGGGGGAUGCAGAGCACUUGCUUAAGCCCAGAUGACACACAGGCUGCCCUGGGGCAGGCAGUGCUUGGGAAUUAAAACCAUCCUUUCCAACAGCUGUGGCUCUUUGUUACCAACAUGAAUAUAAGAGGAACUGUGGGAGGGAGCUGAAGAUUGACCAGAGGAGCACAUCUGCUGUUCAGUGCAUAUGGCAUGCUGCAACGACCAAACCCAGCUGGUUCUGAAGGUCUAGCUCAGAGGAUCUCUGGGGAUAAGGAAAGAGAGAGACCCUCAAAGAGCUGUGGAGUGAGGGCAAAUGCACAGAGUGGAUCUGGCAAGGAAUCAGAGGUGAGGAGGGAGCUGCCCUUCGUGUCACUGCCUCCCAUGGUCAGCUCUGCCCUGCAGGGAGAUCUGGCUCAAUAACCACUGCACAUAUGUAUGUCUCUGGUAUGGGAUGUUCUCCUCAUUCAACCCAAUUCUCGCUGGCAAACGUCAAGAACAUGGGCCAAGAUUCAUGCUGGCUUUAACUGUUAGCUGCCACAACAGCCUUGUAUGUGCAGGAUACAACUUCCAUUGGGCUUAUCUCUAGUUGCCAUUAACUUGCAGUGAUCUAUUUGAACGUUUUGAUCCUUGCUGCACCAAGA
This 778-nucleotide long non-coding RNA is filed under the name Phasianus colchicus (ring-necked pheasant). Its description in RNAcentral is "lncRNA (ENSPCLG00000014757.1)". The record is from RNAcentral. Lineage: Eukaryota; Metazoa; Chordata; Aves; Galliformes; Phasianidae.